GUGGUUAUAGCUCAGUGGUAGAACACAUGUCUGGCAUGCAUGAAGUGUUGGGUUCAACCCCCAGUGCCUCCA
This 72-nucleotide transfer RNA is filed under the name Camelus bactrianus (Bactrian camel). It matches the Rfam family "tRNA". From Rfam's summary of the family: Transfer RNA (tRNA) molecules are approximately 80 nucleotides in length. Their secondary structure includes four short double-helical elements and three loops (D, anti-codon, and T loops). RNAcentral also lists the same sequence under 1 other name. The record is from Rfam by way of RNAcentral. Lineage: Eukaryota; Metazoa; Chordata; Mammalia; Artiodactyla; Camelidae.